GUAGGGAAUAAAUAAGACAUGUAUAGGUAUGGGUGUCAUGUAGGAGUUAUUUAUGCUUUGACUUAUUCUCAGGUAUUUGCUGUGUCCUCCUCCCUUUUGUAGUGAGAGAGGAGAAUAAUGGUUAAUGUCUCUUUGCUGUUCAGUGUCUGAUAUAUGUGAUUUCUUAUGUUUAGCAUUUUUGGCUUGUAGAUUUUACUCGUAUUCAGAUCAAUAAACGGCAAAGAGACAUUAACCAU
This 236-nucleotide unclassified non-coding RNA is filed under the name Hevea brasiliensis (rubber tree). The record is from RNAcentral. Lineage: Eukaryota; Viridiplantae; Streptophyta; Magnoliopsida; Malpighiales; Euphorbiaceae.